UACAGAGGUGGCAAUCGUUGUUCGGAAUUACUGGGCGUAAAGGUCGAGUAGGUGGCCAUCUAAGUCAGACGUGAAAUCCCCGGGCUUAACCUGGGAACUGCAUUUGUGACUGCAUGGCUAGAGUGCGGCAGAGGGGAAUGGAAUUCCGCGUGUAGCAGUGAAAUGCGUAGAUAUGCGGAGGAACACCGAUGGCGAAGGCAAUCCCCUGGGCCUGCACUGACGCUCAUGCACGAAAGCGUGGGGAGCAAACAGG
This 253-nucleotide ribosomal RNA is filed under the name uncultured bacterium. RNAcentral describes it as "partial 16S ribosomal RNA". It matches the Rfam family "Bacterial small subunit ribosomal RNA", at positions 524 to 776 of the family's 1533-position model. The record is from RNAcentral.